AGUGGAAUUGUUGGGUCAAAUUGUAUCUUUACGUUUUGGAGAAAUUGUCAGACUAUUUUCCAAAGUGGAUGCACCAUUUCACAUUUCUACCAGCAAU
This 97-nucleotide microRNA precursor is filed under the name Marmota monax (woodchuck). Lineage: Eukaryota; Metazoa; Chordata; Mammalia; Rodentia; Sciuridae. The record is from RNAcentral.